RNAcentral lists this ribosomal RNA (459 nucleotides) under uncultured bacterium. RNAcentral describes it as "partial 16S ribosomal RNA". It matches the Rfam family "Bacterial small subunit ribosomal RNA", at positions 338 to 795 of the family's 1533-position model. The record is from RNAcentral.
CCUACGGGGGGCAGCAGUGAGGAAUAUUGGUCAAUGGCCGGAAGGCUGAACCAGCCAAGCCGCGUGAAGGACGAAGGUGCCAAGCAUUGUAAACUUCUUUUGUCAAGGGACAAAAUCAGGCUCGAGAGCCUGACCGAGGGUACUUGAAGAAAAAGCAUCGGCUAACUCCGUGCCAGCAGCCGCGGUAAUACUGGGGCUGCGACCGUUAUCCGGAUUUAUUGGGUUAAAAGGGUGCGUAGGGGGACUGUUACGUCAGCGGUAAAAGCGCGGGGCUCAACCCCGGCGAGCCGGUGAAACUGGCUGUCUUGAGAUGGCGAGAGGUAGGCGGAAUGCGCAGUGUAGCGGUGAAAUGCUUAGAUAGUGCGCAGAACUCCGAUUGCGAAGGCAGCAUACCGGCGGCGAUCUGACGCUGAGGCACGAAAGCGUGGGUAUCGAACAGGAUUAGAUACCCUGGUAGUC